This 1631-nucleotide long non-coding RNA is filed under the name Setaria italica (foxtail millet). RNAcentral describes it as "long non-coding RNA (SITA_LNC006526)". Lineage: Eukaryota; Viridiplantae; Streptophyta; Magnoliopsida; Poales; Poaceae. The record is from RNAcentral.
GUCCUCUUCCCACACAGACCGUUAGAACAAGCUUCCCCGGCUCCGUCACUUCUCAUUGAAUAUCCUCCAUCCUCCACCAUCCGGCGGCGACGCCUCCCGCACUGCCUCCUGCCCCGCCUAGCAACCGUCUGCAUCAUCAAGCCAACCUUCCACCCUAACUGUCUGUCUAUAUCCAAAGAUGCAAGAAAAAACUCAUCAAAGCUCGAAUUACAAACCCUUAACCUUGUGACCUCAUUGGAGCUCCCCAGAGAUGGAGUAGAUGGGGAGAUGGCUUGAAUCUUGCCGGAUUAUCGAUGGUGCGUGAAAGGUGAGAAAUACCAAGUUUAAUUCCAAUUCCUUAUAUAUCUAUCAAUAUCAUCGAAGAUGCUCUAAUACAAACGAUUUGGGCAGGGAGCAAAAGCCGGAUGAGUUUCCUUUGGUAGAGCAAAAUCUCUAGGAAACGACAAUGAAAAAUGAACUGUCACGGAACCCUAGAUAGAUGGCCAGUCCUUCCACCAAAAUCCUCUCAGGAGGGCCUCCACGCAAAAAAUGCCGACCAGGGUCCACGGUAGGGGCUUCGGCGACGGCUGGGCGAGCGGCGUCGCGCCUUGCCAGUUCUUGGUCGGGACCUUCGCCGGCGACGAGUAUCCACUAGGUACGCGCAUCCCCUUCCCACUGUGCGAAACCGAGUGCCCCAGACCAUAAUGUAAGCUAUUUGUAUUGACCCUGUACUGGAUCGGUCCCUGGUUGAGAUGAGGCCGGAUGUGAAAAGGGGGGGACUGGGAAAAAAUUAGUGUGGUGGGUUGUGUAAUUAUUGUUGCCCAUCUGUAGCUCUUGCCUUCUUGAUAUUGUGUGGGGAAGAUGAUGCCUUUUGCUCUCUUCUGUGUGUAGAUCUGUUAGUUUUCCUGUCCUGUAUGCAUUAAGGAGCAGGCCUGCAAACUGGCUGCACAUGUCUCCUUCCCUCCGUCCCUACUCAUUUGUUCACACAGGGUCAGUGAUCAGUUGCAUAACACUAUGCAUUAUUUACCAGGUAAGUACAAUGUAUUUGGAUCAAGUAGUCCUUAAUGGUGAGCCAUGUGUUUGUAGUCCGUAGCUAUUGCAAAUUUUACAAUGAUCAGCCCAAAAGCAGGUAGUAGUGGUGGGACAUGGAGAGAGGAAAGUAAGAAGAGGGAUAGAGAGAGGGAGAGAACUGAGAGAGAUAAAUUAUUAUUUUAUUUCUUAUGGGUAGCUCAUAAGUUUAUGGACACCUUUUGCUAUAGGCUACCUUAUGGAUCACUCCCACAAUAUGAAUACGUCAGGUUGGUGGAGUGAAAUAUUUUAGUCCUUAUGAACGGCCUUUGGAGCACAUUGUGGUUGCCCUCACACUGAAAUCUGGUGGUGAAAUAACGUAUCGCACAACAGAUUUCAGUGAUAGCAUUUGCUUGUCACCUGGAGGUGCACAACUCAUGGAGAAGCCCGAAGGAAAGACUAUUCCUUUUUUUCUAAAAAAUUCGGUUAUUUACAAUUGUCCACAGCAAGUUUGAGCUUGUUGAAUUGCAUAUUCAUAUAUCAGAGACACCACUCACGUCCCUUCCAUUAGAGUGGGACGGGAUGGGACGAUCCCAUCUCGCCCCACGUUUGAUUCGGAGAUACGAGGGACGAGUCCAUCCCUG